This 356-nucleotide transfer-messenger RNA is filed under the name Andreesenia angusta. RNAcentral describes it as "Standard tmRNA". It matches the Rfam family "transfer-messenger RNA". From Rfam's summary of the family: Bacterial tmRNA, also known as 10Sa RNA or SsrA, is named for its dual tRNA and mRNA-like properties. Its role is to liberate the mRNA from a stalled ribosome. To accomplish this part of the tmRNA is used as a reading frame that ends in a translation stop signal. The record is from Rfam by way of RNAcentral. Lineage: Bacteria; Bacillati; Bacillota; Tissierellia; Tissierellales; Gottschalkiaceae.
GGGGGCGAAAAUGGUUUCGACGGGGAUGUGAAUCCAGGAUAAGCGAGUCGUUGACGUCUAUCAACGCUAAAAGAGACAUUUAAAGUAAACGCAAAAGAUAACAAUUACGCUUUAGCUGCGUAGCAAUAACGUGGCUUGUUCUCUCUUAAGUUCCUGCGCUUAGGGGAUGAACACCAUAAUCAGCAGGGAACUACUAUUGGGGCUCUCCGACCUCUAGUAGACUAAUUGGAGAUAGCCGAACUGGAAUCCUGUCAUUGGGAGUCUGGCUAGGCGAAACUUUAAAACAGUGACUGCACUCGGAGAAGUUCCUGGUGAAGCAUUUUCGGACGUGGGUUCGACUCCCACCGCCUCCACCA